CCCGACUAGACCACCGUUACCGUCGAAGAUGCCAUGCACGACGUCAAACAGUGAUGCCUCUCUUAUUUUUUCUUCUUCACCGGUCACUGCCACCACCGCUAUUGCUGAACUCGCUCGCGUCUGCUCUUCCGCCAGCCAUCGCCACUGCUCCUUGAGUGGCCUCCUUCUCCACUUGCCACAGACGGCAGCUCCUCCCUCUCCCUCUUCCCCGAUUCU
RNAcentral lists this long non-coding RNA (216 nucleotides) under Ricinus communis (castor bean). RNAcentral's name for it is "long non-coding RNA (RCOM_LNC001187)". The record is from RNAcentral. Lineage: Eukaryota; Viridiplantae; Streptophyta; Magnoliopsida; Malpighiales; Euphorbiaceae.